Amblyraja radiata (thorny skate) is the source of this 2662-nucleotide RNA transcript. It is a transcript of the gene named jumonji domain containing 4, with no coding region annotated. The record is from RefSeq and is a predicted model, not a curated record. Lineage: Eukaryota; Metazoa; Chordata; Chondrichthyes; Rajiformes; Rajidae. The transcript is spliced from 8 exons.
CUCCCCCUCUGCGCCCCGCGAUGAAGAUGGCGGCGGGCUGACGAUGGCGGUUGGCGGGAGGCCGGGCAGGUAAAGGAUUCUUCAGGAGUGAAGGAAGGAAAGUUGAGAGGGAUUGAAGAAUCAUUGAGGUCCGUUUACAUCCCGUGAAGCACAGAGAAUACCGAACAUGAACAAGGAGACCUUGAGCACAGCACUGAGUUUUUACCAAAGUGAUCGACCUUCUUGCGACCAGUUUCACAACGGUCGGAAACUCGAUUACCUACGCAAAGCUGAUCUGAGUUACUCUGAUUUUUUCCGAGACUUUCUGCUCCCUAACUACCCGUGCAUUCUGUCGCCCGAGUUCACCGCGGACUGGAGAAGCCGGCAAACGUGGGUGCGAGCCGACGGGAGCCCUGACUUUGAGCACCUGCUGAAACACUUUGGAGAUUGCGUGGUACCCGUGGCCAACUGUGAUGUUAAGGAAUACAAUGCAAACCCAAAGCAUAACAUGCCGUUACGGGAUUAUCUCAGUUACUGGAGAGAGCACAGGGGGAGCAGAUAUUCAUCUCCACGGGGUUGUCUGUAUAUGAAAGACUGGCACAUGCACAGGACUUUCCCCGAUCAUGGAGAAUACACAACUCCAGACUUCUUCCAAUCCGACUGGCUGAAUGAAUAUUGGGACACCAUCAAAGUGGAUGAUUAUCGUUUUGUUUACAUGGGUCCCAAAGGAUCGUGGACACCGUUCCAUGCGGACGUUUUCCGAUCCUACAGCUGGUCUGCCAACAUCUGCGGGCGGAAGAAGUGGCUCCUGUUUGCUCCUGGGCGGGAGGAGCAUCUCCGAGACAACAGCGGCAAUCUGGUUUACGACGCGCAGUCGCCCAUCCUGCAGAACGAGGAUUUGUACCCAAGAUAUAGUCAGUGCUGCCAACCCAUUGAGGUCUUGCAAGAAGCUGGAGAGGUCAUCUUUAUCCCUAGUGGUUGGCACCAUCAAGUUUACAACCUGGAGGACACCAUCUCGAUCAACCACAACUGGCUGAAUGGCUGCAACGUAGAUGUGAUGUGGAGCUUCCUGCAAGGUGAGCUCGCUGCGGUCCAGACGGAGAUUGGAGAAUGGAAGGACCACAUGGACGAUUGGCACCAGCACUGUCAGCUCCUGUUGAAAUCAUGCUCUGGAAUAAACUACUGUGAGUUCUACACCUUUCUGAAAAUAAUUUCUAAGAACAGGAUGGCCGUGCUAGAUGCCGCCGUUCCUCUCCAGACCGCGUCCCCGGCAGAACUGUUUGCACUCGGACCUUGCCACGCGCUCUUCGACCUGCACCGGAGCGAAGAUGUCCUCUCCGCACUGCUCGCCAAUGAGUACUUUGGCAAAUUGGACACAGACUUGCUGGAGCCUCGGCCUGAGCAGAUGCUGCAGGAUAUCAGAGAGGUGUUGGAUGCUGCCUCCUUGUAAUAUUCUGCCUGCAUGUGGCUAUCUCUCGUCAACCAGGUUGCAUUCAAAAUUGCACCUUGUGAAGUGAAAGAAAACACGAAACGGCAUCACCACGAAGAAGAUGGAUGUGGGAAUUAAAAAAUGAUGCUGCCUGACCCACUGAGUUCCUCCAGCACUUUGUGUGUUGAUCAAGAUUGCAGCAUCUGCAGUUCCUUGUGUCUCCACUUUCACUCCAGUCUUUAUACGCUAUAAAAUGGACCUUGGUGAGAUAUCCCUGUAACAGUUUUUCUCUAGAUGAUUGCACCGUACCCUGAGGCACACCAUGAGUCACAGGCCUCCAGUCUGAGAAGCAACCUUCCACCAUCACCCUCUGCUUCCUUCCAUGGAGCCAAUUUGCUGUCCAUUCGGCUGUUUCUCCUUGGAUCCCAUGCUAUCUAACCUACCAUGCGGAACCUUGCCGAACGCCCUUCUGAAGUCCAUGUACACAACAUCUACACCUCUGCCCUCAUCGACCUUUUUGGUCACGUCUUCAUAAAAAUUAAUAAGAUUUGUGAGACACGACCUCCCACAUACAAAACCAUGCUGACUCAGCCCUUCCCCAUCCAAAUGCCUGUAUAUCCUAUCCCUCAGAAUACUCUCUAGUGACUUUCCAACUACAGAUGUUAAGCUCACCGGCCUAUAGUUCCCAGCAUUUUCCCUGCAGCCCUUCUUUAAAAGAGGCACAACAUUUGCCACCCUCCAAAUGUAAUAGAGUAUCCAAAAUUAUGAGGCAAAUAUAGGAUAGAUAGUCAGAACCUUCCCCACCCCCAGGGUGGAAAUGUCAAAUAUUAGCUUGCAUAGCCUUAAGGUGAGAGGUGCAAAGUUUAAAGGACAUGUGUGGGGCAGGUUUUUUUACACAGAGGGUGGUGGGUGCCUGGAACGCGCUGCCAGGGGUGGUGGUGGAGGCAGAUACGAUAGUUGUGUUUAAGAGGCUUUUAGACAGGCACAUGGAUAUGCGGGGAAUGGAGGGAUACGGAUCACGUGCUGGCAGAAUUGUUCUCGGCAUCAUGUUGGGCACAGACAUUGUGGGCCGAAGGGCCUGUUCCUGUGCUGUGCCGUUCUCUGUUCUAAAAUCCUUCACAGCAAUGGCCGCCACUUGACAGAUUGAUUGAUUCUUCAACUGAAACGGCACUCCUUUUCCAGAAGAGGAACUUAGGAGCAUAUACUUGAAUAUGCACUGAGUCCAAAGACAAAAUAAAAGACUUUAAGGUUGAA